This 433-nucleotide ribosomal RNA is filed under the name uncultured bacterium. RNAcentral describes it as "partial 16S ribosomal RNA". It matches the Rfam family "Bacterial small subunit ribosomal RNA", at positions 29 to 507 of the family's 1533-position model. The record is from RNAcentral.
AACGAACGCUGGCGGCAUGCCUAACACAUGCAAGUCGAACGAGACCUUCGGGUCUAGUGGCGCACGGGUGCGUAACGCGUGGGAACCUGCCCUUAGGUUCGGAAUAACUCCCCGACAGGGGUGCUAAUACCGGAUAAUGUCUUCGGACCAAAGAUUUAUCGCCUUUGGAUGGUCCCGCGUUGGAUUAGCUAGUUGGUAGGGUAAAAGGCUACCAAGGCGACGAUCCAUAGCUGGUAUGAGAGGAUGAUCAGCCACACUGGGACUGAGACACGGCCCAGAAUCCUACGGGAGGCAGCAGUGGGGAAUAUUGGACAAUGGGCGAAAGCCUGAUCCAGCAAUGCCGCGAGAGUGAUGAAGGCAUUAGGGUUGUAAAGCUCUUUUACCCGGGAUGAUAAUGACAGUACCGGGAGAAUAAGCUCCGGCUAACUCCGUG